GCGACCAUGGUGAAAUCGGUAGACACGAUGGAUUCAAAAUCCAUUGCUUAAAGCAUCCGAGUUCAAGUCUCGGUGGUCGCACCA
This 84-nucleotide transfer RNA is filed under the name Photobacterium kishitanii. RNAcentral's name for it is "tRNA-Leu". It matches the Rfam family "tRNA". From Rfam's summary of the family: Transfer RNA (tRNA) molecules are approximately 80 nucleotides in length. Their secondary structure includes four short double-helical elements and three loops (D, anti-codon, and T loops). The record is from RNAcentral. Lineage: Bacteria; Pseudomonadati; Pseudomonadota; Gammaproteobacteria; Vibrionales; Vibrionaceae.